GCGGCCGCCUCUCCACGCCCUGCCCCGGGCCGCCCGCCAGGCCGCCGUUUCCCGGAGCCGGCCCCCUCCCGCCCUCGCGGCCGGCUGAUGUCAUCUGCACACAACUUUCCGCUUCCCGGCCCGUCUCGGGGCCCUGAGUCAUCGCCGCCCCCGGCCCCGACGCUGGCCUGCGGCGUCUGUUUGUGCAGAGCGAGGCCCCGCCGGCCGGGCUUGACGUCAGGCUGGCAGGGCCUGGAACGGCCCCGCAUCGCGGCCCCCUGGGGGCAGGACGACACCGCUGGGGGCCGAGGGCAGGGCACGCCUUCGGAAUCCGGCUUCGAAGCCGGCCGCCUGACCUGGGGCAAGUGCUUUCAACUCUCUGAACUUCGGUUCCUCAUCUGCCAGUUGGCAGACGCUCAGCAAAUCUUCCUAGACUCACGGGGCGAAUUGUACAGUUGGGUAAAUCGAGGCCCAGAGAUGGCAAAAGGACCGUCCAAGGUCGUACAGCCACCCGGAAUUACAAUUCUUUUCUGCCGGGUCACACGCUGUCAUCCACGUGUUACCUAAGAGAGCUUUCCAGCCUGUGCUAAGAAAACUGCCCCACAUCAUCUGCAGUAGGACGGGGGAGUUGGAGCCCUGGUCAGGCCACUCUGCUACUGACCACAGUUUUCUCAUCUCUAAAAAGGCGCAGUAACAAUAUAAUUACCGUAUGCAGUCCCCCAGGAUACAGGGUCAAAGGAGAGCACAACCAUCGCAGUUGGAAGCCCAUGGGGCAGCAGGGCCCAGGACACAGUGAGCAUACAAUAGACAUUAGCUGCUGUGGUGUCUUGAUUUCAAGCCCAGUGCAGAUGCAUCUGACUUACGAAACUUCAGUGACACCUGCUCUGUGCCAGACACUGAAGAUGGAGCAGUGAACAGCACUGACCCAGCCUGUCCUCCUGUUGCCUGCAGGCCAGAAGCAAGGUCUCGCUGUGUUACCCUGGCUGGAGUGCAGUGGCUACUUACAGGCAUGAUCAUAGCAUACUGCAGCCUCGAACUCCUGGACUAGAGCAGUUCUCCUGCCUCAGCCUCCAGAGCAGCUGGGACUGCAGACACGCACCACAGAGCCCAGCCUGAGUCAUUUUGAUUCUGUAACUGGCUUCCUCUCGGCGGGCAGGCUCACACCCUCCACCCCCAGCUGGAGAUGGAAGGAGGAUGCUCACCGCCCAUUCCUCAUGCAGGCCAUCGAUGGAAAUGUCAGACAGUGCGAGUCCACGCCUGAACACUUCUGGGGUCCGCUCUGGGACUGACACUGGCAGAUCCAUCGGUGAGCUCCCGCCUGCCACCUCUGGGCCUGCAUUGCGGUGAUAGGGCCAAGGGCCUGGGCCUUCAAUUCUCCAGACUUGCCAAAAUGCUCAGCGCAGGCCUCGUCGGCAACUGCAGACAAGCAGAGGCAGCACCUGGGCUCUGCCUGUGCCUGGCACAGUGAAGCGAGGGUGGGGGCAGGAAUGAGGGUCCUCUCCAUGCAAGGGGGGAAGAUAGAAGAACAAAAUUUCACCCUAAUGUAGUGUCUUUAGACCGUGCAAUGUUGUGCUCCUGUUAGUCUGAUAUCAGGGGCUUGCAGCCUGGCAAAGGAAAAAAAACAGGCUGAGGCACAUGAUAGAAGACAGGCAGGGAUGCCACAAUCAUAACCAUGGCAAAGACCAGGAUCAGAAAGGCCCACCAUCUCUGACCCCAAAUCCCUGGGCAGAUGGUUCCAGAACUCAGAAUUUUCCCAGUUGUAGAAAGAUGGGGCCAGGUGCAGUGGCUCACGCCUGUAAUCCCAGCAUUUUGGGAGUACAAGGUGGGCGGAUCACCUGAGGUCAGGAGUUCGAGACCAGCCUGGCCAACAUGGUGAAACCCUGUCUCUACUAAAAAAAAAAAAAAAAAUUAGCCGGGCGUGGCGAUGCAUGCCUGUAAUCCCAGCUACUCGGGAGGCUGAGCCAGGAGAAUUGCUUGAACCCGGGAGGCGGAGGUUGCAGUGAGCCAAGAUCGCGCCACUACACUCCAGUCCGGGCGACAGAGCAAGAGUCCAUUCCCCCACCACCAAAAAAAAAAAAAAAAGAAAGAAA
This is a long non-coding RNA of Homo sapiens (human), 2069 nucleotides long. Ensembl annotates it as long intergenic non-protein coding RNA 963. The record is from Ensembl. NCBI's taxonomy places the organism in Eukaryota, Metazoa, Chordata, Mammalia, Primates, Hominidae.